CUUCUUUUGCAACCCACUCCCAUGGUGUGACGGGCGGUGUGUACAAGGCCCGGGAACGUAUUCACCGUGGCAUUCUGAUCCACGAUUACUAGCGAUUCCGACUUCAUGGAGUCGAGUUGCAGACUCCAAUCCGGACUACGACAUACUUUAUGAGGUCCGCUUGCUCUCGCGAGGUCGCUUCUCUUUGUAUAUGCCAUUGUAGCACGUGUGUAGCCCUACUCGUAAGGGCCAUGAUGACUUGGACGUCAUCCCCACCUUCCUCCAGUUUAUCACUGGCAGUCUCCUUUGAGUUCCCGGCCGGACCGCUGGCAACAAAGGAUAAGGGUUGCGCUCGUUGCGGGACUUAACCCAACAUUUCACAACACGAGCUGACGACAGCCAUGCAGCACCUGUCUCAGAGUUCCCGAAGGCACCAAAGCAUCUCUGCUAAGUUCUCUGGAUGUCAAGAGUAGGUAAGGUUCUUCGCGUUGCAUCGAAUUAAACCCACCAUGCUCCACCGCCUUGUGCGGGCCCCCGUCAAUUCAUUUGAGUUUUAACCUUGCGGCCGUACUCCCCAGGCGGUCGACUUAACGCGUUAGCUCCGGAAGCCACGCCUCAAGGGCACAACCUCCAAGUCGACAUCGUUUACGGCGUGGACUACCAGGGUAUCUAAUCCUGUUUGCUCCCCACGCUUUCGCACCUGAGCGUCAGUCUUUGUCCAGGGGGCCGCCUUCGCCACCGGUAUUCCUCCAGAUCUCUACGCAUUUCACCGCUACACCUGGAAUUCUACCCCCCUCUACAAGACUCUAGCCUGCCAGUUUCGGAUGUCAGUCCCAGGUUAGCCCGGGAUUUCACAUCCGACUUGAAAACCGGCGGGGCGCUUUACGGCCCAGGUAUUCCGAUUAACGCUUGGCACUCCGAAUACGCGCUGCUGCACGUAGUUUGCCGUGGCUUCCUCUCAGGUACCGUCUGUUUCGUCCCUGUUGACAGAGCUUUACGAUUCCGAACCUUCUUCACUCACGCGGGCGUUGCUCCGUCAGGCUUUCGCCCAUUGCGGAAUAUUCCCUACUGCUGCCUCCCGUAGGAGUCUGGACCGUUUCUCAGUUCCAGUGUGGCCGUUCACCCUCUCAGGUCGGCUACCUAUCGUCGCCUUGGUAGGCCGUUACCCUACCAACUAGCUAAUAGGCCGCGGGUCCAUCCUUAAGCGGAUUGCUCCUUUUCCAACAAAAUCAUGCGAUCUCGUUGAUUUACGCGGUAUUAGCGUCCCUUUCGGGACGUUAUCCCCCUCUUAAGGCCAGGUUGCCCACGUGUUACUCACCCGUCCGCC
This 1306-nucleotide ribosomal RNA is filed under the name uncultured bacterium. RNAcentral's name for it is "partial 16S ribosomal RNA". The record is from RNAcentral.